CUGAGGGAAUAGCUCAGUCAGUAGAGCAUGAGACUCUUAAUUUCAGGGUUGCGGGGUCAAGUCCCACAUUAGCUGAAAGA
Podarcis lilfordi (Lilford's wall lizard) is the source of this 80-nucleotide non-coding RNA. Lineage: Eukaryota; Metazoa; Chordata; Lepidosauria; Squamata; Lacertidae. The record is from the annotation of a GenBank genome assembly.